Callithrix jacchus (white-tufted-ear marmoset) is the source of this 300-nucleotide unclassified non-coding RNA. It matches the Rfam family "Metazoan signal recognition particle RNA". Rfam says of the family: The signal recognition particle (SRP) is a universally conserved ribonucleoprotein. The record is from Ensembl. Lineage: Eukaryota; Metazoa; Chordata; Mammalia; Primates; Cebidae.
GCCCGGCACAGUGGCACGUGCUUGUAGUCCCAGCUACUCGGGAGGUUGGGGUGGGAGGAUCACUUGAGCCCAGGAGUUCUGGGCUGUAGUGCACUAUUCCACUCGGGUGUCCACACUAAGUUCGGCAUCAAUAUGGUGACCUCCUGGGAGCAGGGGACCACCAGGUUGCCCAAGGAGGGAUGAACCGGCCCAGGUCGGAAACGGAGCAUGUCAAAACUUCUGUGCUGAUCAGUAGUGGGAUCACGCCUGUGAAUAGCCACUGCACUCCCACCUGGGCAAAAUAGCGAGACCCAGUCUCUA